RNAcentral lists this ribosomal RNA (254 nucleotides) under uncultured bacterium. RNAcentral's name for it is "partial 16S ribosomal RNA". It matches the Rfam family "Bacterial small subunit ribosomal RNA", at positions 524 to 776 of the family's 1533-position model. The record is from RNAcentral.
UACGUAGGGAGCAAGCGUUGUUCGGAAUUACUGGGCGUAAAGCGCGCGCAGGCGGAUGAUGCAAGUCUGGAGUGAAAUCUCGCCGCUCAACGGCGAGGCUGCUUUGGAUACUGUACGUCUGGGGACUGGUAGAGGCUGGUAGAAUUCCCGGUGUAGCGGUGGAAUGCGUAGAUAUCGGGAGGAACACCAGUGGCGAAGGCGGCUCACUGGACCGGUACUGACGCUGAGGCGCGAAAGCGUGGGGAGCAAACAGG